AAUAUGGAGUCACAGACCCAAAUCCUAAUUUCAUUGCUGCUCUGGGUGUCUGCAGGUGUCUGUGCAGAUAUCACAAUGACCCAGUCUCCAUCUUCCUUGGCUGUGUCAGUAGGAGAGAAGAUCACUAUCAGCUGCAGGGCCAGUCAGAGUCUUUACAACAGUAAUACCAAUAAGAACUACUUGAACUGGUACCAGCAGAAACCAGGGCAGUCUCCUAAACUACUAAUCUACUAUGCAUCCACUCGGCACACUGGGGUCCCUGAUCGCUUCAUAGGCAGUGGGUCUGAGACAGAUUUUGCUCUCACCAUCAGCAGUGUCCAGGCUGAAGACCUGGCAGAUUAUUACUGCCAGCAGUCGUACAGCUAUCCUCCCACAGUGCUUCAGCCUCCAACAAAAACCUCUUCUGAGAGUCUCACCAUCUGCCUUCAUCAUGCACAGCCCUGGUCCUUUACACUUCCCCCUUCUGCCUUAGAGUCAGUGUUUCUGAAACUCUGA
Microtus ochrogaster (prairie vole) is the source of this 495-nucleotide non-coding RNA. NCBI's taxonomy places the organism in Eukaryota, Metazoa, Chordata, Mammalia, Rodentia, Cricetidae. The record is from the annotation of a RefSeq genome assembly.